This 513-nucleotide small RNA is filed under the name Pan troglodytes (chimpanzee). RNAcentral describes it as "processed transcript". The record is from RNAcentral. Lineage: Eukaryota; Metazoa; Chordata; Mammalia; Primates; Hominidae.
ACUCACUCCCACAGGAUGAAAUGGAGAUCGGCUACAUCCAAGCCCCACACAAAACGCUGCCCGUGGUCUUCGACUCUCCAAGGAACAGAGGCCUGAAGGAGUUUCCCAUCAAACGCGUGAUGGGUCCAGAUUUUGGCUAUGUAACUCGAGGGCCCCAAACAGGGGGUAUCAGUGGACUGGACUCCUUUGGGAACCUGGAAGUGAGCCCCCCAGUCACAGUCAGGGGCAAGGAAUACCCGCUGGGCAGGAUUCUCUUCGGGGACAGCUGUUAUCCCAGCAAUGACAGCCGGCAGAUGCACCAGGCCCUGCAGGACUUCCUCAGUGCCCAGCAGGUGCAGGCCCCUGUGAAGCUCUAUUCUGACUGGCUGUCCGUGGGCCACGUGGACGAGUUCCUGAGCUUUGUGCCUGCACCCGACAGGAAGGGCUUCCGGCUGCUCCUGGCCAGCCCCAGGUCCUGCUACAAACUGUUCCAGGAGCAGCAGAAUGAGGGCCACGGGGAGGCCCUGCUGUUCG